GCCCUCGGUGGCUCAGAUGGAUAGAGCGUCUGCCAUGUAAGCAGGAGAUCCUGGGUUCGAGUCCCAGUCGGGGCA
Molecule: transfer RNA, 75 nt
Filed under: Schistocerca americana (American grasshopper)
Lineage: Eukaryota; Metazoa; Arthropoda; Insecta; Orthoptera; Acrididae
Also listed under: 3 other names
Description: tRNA-Thr
Rfam family: tRNA
About the family: Transfer RNA (tRNA) molecules are approximately 80 nucleotides in length. Their secondary structure includes four short double-helical elements and three loops (D, anti-codon, and T loops). Further hydrogen bonds mediate the characteristic L-shaped molecular structure. tRNAs have two regions of fundamental functional importance: the anti-codon, which is responsible for specific mRNA codon recognition, and the 3' end, to which the tRNAs corresponding amino acid is attached (by aminoacyl-tRNA synthetases). tRNAs cope with the degeneracy of the genetic code in two manners: having more than one tRNA (with a specific anti-codon) for a particular amino acid; and 'wobble' base-pairing, i.e. permitting non-standard base-pairing at the 3rd anti-codon position.
Source: RNAcentral